This 72-nucleotide transfer RNA is filed under the name Camelus bactrianus (Bactrian camel). It matches the Rfam family "tRNA". Rfam says of the family: Transfer RNA (tRNA) molecules are approximately 80 nucleotides in length. Lineage: Eukaryota; Metazoa; Chordata; Mammalia; Artiodactyla; Camelidae. The record is from Rfam by way of RNAcentral. RNAcentral also lists the same sequence under 1 other name.
GAGGGUAUAGCUCAGUGGUAGAGUGCCUGCUUAGCAUGCACAGGGUCCUGGGUUCAAUCCCCAGCACCUGCA